UGGGCCGAAAUAAUUGAUCCAAUCCAACUUCUUUUAUUAUGCCAUUGACAUUACGACACAUCACACUACAAGUUAUCUUGGGCCUAGCCCAGUUCCGAUACAUUUUCAAAGCAACAUGAAAUAUUAUAGGAGCCCAAAAUAUCUUUACAUGCAUUCAUUCUAGCAGUACAUAUCUUUACAUCCAACCAGUAAGUGCCAAACAGAACUAUUCUACAACAAAGAAAAGAAAAUAGAUGACAAGACAUCACAGAAGUUACUAUUGUCCUCCUCCUUCAACAUUUGAAAACCUUCACCUGGCAGUAGAUCAAUCAUGAGUGAGAAACAAUACAGCAGCAAAACAAUACAGAAACAAUACGGUUGAUUAUUCAAAGAAAUUAAACUAAGUGCAGGUCACCCAAAGCUGAAUUUCUUGCAAUCCAAACAACACAAACAGUAGGAAGAUGGUUGCAUAGAUACAAAUCCAUGUGGUAGCAGCAAAAUUGGCCAAUCUGGACCGCAUCUUCUCUGUUUGGUACUAACUAAAAAAACUGGACUUGUUCAUACAAAUCCCUCUUGAAUUCCUUACAUAGCCAGGAUUUGCAUCAAAUAUUCCUUAAUUUAGCGGCAUUUGUAAGCAGAGAAAGAGAGGGAGGGAGAUGGGGAUGCUACGUACCUUGUCCUGAAGUUCCAACGACCAGACCAGAGAGAAGUUGCUCCUCGUCUUCUUUCCCCAGCCC
RNAcentral lists this long non-coding RNA (716 nucleotides) under Triticum aestivum (bread wheat). RNAcentral's name for it is "long non-coding RNA (TAES_LNC020690)". Lineage: Eukaryota; Viridiplantae; Streptophyta; Magnoliopsida; Poales; Poaceae. The record is from RNAcentral.